AAUCGCCCUGUCUCCGUGUGAGAGGUGGGAUGUUGAAGUUCAAAAUGAACAACGGAAGUGUCCAAGCAGGCACCCUUGGUAUGUGGUCUAGCAGGACUCAAACCCAGGCAAAGAUCACUCCAGUUCUUUGACAUCACACACCUCCAGGAGCAUGCAUCCGUGUAAGAUACCCUAAAGAAAAACGGUACAGGGUGUGGGGAGCUGACCUCGGAGUCCCUGUCUGCUACCAAACCAGGGUGUGACCUGCACAAUCGCAUGAGGUCUUGGCAAUGAGAAGGUCUCAUCUCACAUUCGGUUUCAGGCUCUGCUGUUGCUAUUUCGAAAUUCUUAAAGAUUUAAAGAUCGGCCCGUGUGUUUUCAUUUUGUGCUGGGCCUGCAAAUUAGGUAACCAGCUAUGCCUCCAGGGAUAAGAAGCUUCUAGGACAGUUCUGUGAGGACAGCUUAUUUCAGCGUCCCAGAGGAAACACACUGGGGGAAUUUAGACCUUAAGUAAAGGAGAAGACUUGUGAAACUGGCAAAUACAGGCAGCUCUUGUGAUGACAAAGACUUCCCCAAGGCUUCUUCUCACCAGUUAAUGGAGACUCAGUGGAUGCAAAGCUUACAACUAUGAAAACAAUACCUGUCUGACCUGGUAAACAGAUCAAUAGAACUGUAGGGCCCCCACAAGAUAUAGCUGAUUCCCAACCCCCGAAUCUGUGAAGGUGACUUUAUUUGGAAGAGAGUCUUUGAAGAUAUAAAUGAGGACCUCAAGAUGAGAUGUUCCUGGAUUUAAGCUAUACUUCAAUUGAAAAAAAAGAGAUGGAAGCAGAAAUUGGAGUGAUGCAUCUCCAAACCAAGGAACAUCAGGGACUUCGGGCAGCCACCAGAGGCUAGGAGAGAGGCAUGGAACCUGAAUCCUCCAAAAGCAGCCUGUCCACACCUCAGUUUCAGACUGCUGGUCCCCAGAACUGUGCAAGAGUCA
Long non-coding RNA from Bos taurus (domestic cattle), 961 nucleotides. The record is from Ensembl. NCBI's taxonomy places the organism in Eukaryota, Metazoa, Chordata, Mammalia, Artiodactyla, Bovidae.